RNAcentral lists this ribosomal RNA (300 nucleotides) under uncultured bacterium. RNAcentral's name for it is "bacterial SSU rRNA". It matches the Rfam family "Bacterial small subunit ribosomal RNA", at positions 1108 to 1408 of the family's 1533-position model. The record is from RNAcentral.
UCCUUUGUUGCCAGCGAUUCGGUCGGGAACUCAAAGGAGACUGCCAGUGAUAAACCGGAGGAAGGUGGGGAUGACGUCAAGUCAUCAUGGCCCUUACGAGUAGGGCUACACACGUGCUACAAUGGCGCAUACAAAGAGAAGCGACGUCGCGAGAGCAAGCGGACCUCAUAAAGUGCGUCGCAGUCCGGAUUGUAGUCUGCAACUCGACUCCAUGAAGUGGGAAUCGCUAGUAAUCGUAGAUCAGAAUGCUACGGUGAAUACGUUCCCGGUCGUUGUACACACCGCCCGUCACACCAUGGG